RNAcentral lists this ribosomal RNA (372 nucleotides) under Prymnesiophyceae sp. Its description in RNAcentral is "partial small subunit ribosomal RNA". It matches the Rfam family "Eukaryotic small subunit ribosomal RNA", at positions 582 to 975 of the family's 1831-position model. The record is from RNAcentral. Lineage: Eukaryota; Haptophyta.
AUUCCAGCUCCAAUAGCGAAUACUAAUUCUGCUGCAGUUAAAAAGCUCGUAGUUGAACUUCUGGUAGGACAGAUCCGGCCUUUGGAUGAAUGUCCAUUGUAUGCUGUGUGUCUUGUCUGGCCAUCCUUUAUGUCUUUUAGGCGUAAUCUUUCACUGUAAAAAAAUUAGGGUGUUUCAAGCAAAAGUUAUUUGGAAUAUAUUAGUAUGGGAUGAUAAGAUAGGCUCUUGAGUGCUACUUUGUUGGUUUCGAACACCGGAGUAAUGAUUAACAGGGACAGUCAGGGGCACUCGUAUUCCGCCGAGAGAGGUGAAAUUCUCAGACCAGCGGAAGACGAACCACUGCGAAAGCAUUUGCCAGGGAUGCUUUCAUUA